This 512-nucleotide ribosomal RNA is filed under the name uncultured bacterium. RNAcentral describes it as "partial 16S ribosomal RNA". It matches the Rfam family "Bacterial small subunit ribosomal RNA", at positions 28 to 507 of the family's 1533-position model. The record is from RNAcentral.
GAUGAACGCUGGCGGCGUGCCUAAUACAUGCAAGUCGAACGAAACUUCUUUAUCACCGAGUGCUUGCACUCACCGAUAAAGAGUUGAGUGGCGAACGGGUGAGUAACACGUGGGCAACCUGCCCAAAAGAGGGGGAUAACACUUGGAAACAGGUGCUAAUACCGCAUAUCCAUAGUUACCGCAUGGUAACUAUGUAAAAGGUGGCUAUACUACCGCUUUUGGAUGGGCCCGCGGCGCAUUAGCUAGUUGGUAGGGUAAAGGCUUACCAAGGCAAUGAUGCGUAGCCGAAUUGAGAGGUUGAUCGGCCACAUUGGGACUGAGACACGGCCCAAACUCCUACGGGAGGCAGCAGUAGGGAAUCUUCCACAAUGGGCGAAAGCCUGAUGGAGCAACGCCGCGUGGGUGAAGAAGGUCUUCGGAUCGUAAAACCCUGUUGUUAGAGAAGAAAGUGCGUGAGAGUAACUGUUCACGUUUCGACGGUAUCUAACCAGAAAGCCACGGCUAACUACGUG